RNAcentral lists this ribosomal RNA (333 nucleotides) under Mesomexovis atenango. RNAcentral describes it as "partial 12S ribosomal RNA". The record is from RNAcentral. Lineage: Eukaryota; Metazoa; Arthropoda; Arachnida; Scorpiones; Vaejovidae.
UAAAAUUUAUAAAAUUAGGUAGUAAAGAAAUUUCUGAAACCUAAAGAAUUUGGCGGUAUUUUAAAUAAUUGGAGGAACCUGUUAUUUAAUUGACAAUCCACAACAUAUCUUUCCUAAAUUUUAUUUGUAUAUCGUCGUUUUGAUAAUAUUUAAAAAUUAUAAUUAAUUUUAAUUAAUUUCCUUAAAUCAGAUCAAGGUGCAGUAUAUUUAGGUUAUAAUGGGUUACAAUAUAUACUAUAUAAAUAAUGGAUAUAAAUUUGAAAUUAUAUUGAAAGUGGAUUCAAAUGUAAUAUUAAAUUAAGAUGUUAAUUUGAUUGAUAAUUUAAAAUAUGC